GCACCAGUGGUCUAGUGGUAGAAUAGUACCUGCCACGGUAUAGACCCGUGUUCGAUUCCCGGGGCUGGUGCA
This 72-nucleotide transfer RNA is filed under the name Helianthus annuus (common sunflower). RNAcentral describes it as "tRNA HanXRQr2_Chr01g0016381". Lineage: Eukaryota; Viridiplantae; Streptophyta; Magnoliopsida; Asterales; Asteraceae. The record is from RNAcentral.